Molecule: ribosomal RNA, 254 nt
Filed under: uncultured bacterium
Lineage: Bacteria
Description: partial 16S ribosomal RNA
Rfam family: Bacterial small subunit ribosomal RNA
Source: RNAcentral
UACGUAGGGGGCAAGCGUUAUCCGGAUUUACUGGGUGUAAAGGGAGCGUAGGUGGCAUGGUAAGCCAGGAGUGAAAACCCGGGACUCAACCCCGCGGAUUGCUUUUGGAACUAUCAGGCUGGAGUGCUGGAGGGGUAAGCGGAAUUCCUAGUGUAGCGGUGAAAUGCGUAGAUAUUAGGAGGAACACCGGUGGCGAAGGCGGCUUACUGGACAGAAACUGACACUGAGGCUCGAAAGCGUGGGGAGCAAACAGG